CCUACGAGAGGCAGCAGUGGGGAAUAUUGGGCAAUGGGCGCAAGCCUGACCCAGCAACGCCGCGUGAAGGAAGACGGCUCUCGGGUUGUAAACCUCCUUUAAGAGGGAAGAGCAGAAGACGGUACCUCUUGAAUAAGCCACGGCUAACUACGUGCCAGCAGCCGCGGUAAUACGUAGGUGGCAAGCGUUGUCCGGAUUUACUGGGUGUAAAGGGCGUGCAGCCGGGAAGACAAGUCAGAUGUGAAAUCCCGCGGCUCAACCGCGGAACUGCAUUUGAAACUGUUUGUCUUGAGUACCGGAGAGGUCAUCGGAAUUCCUGGUGUAGCGGUGAAAUGCGUAGAUAUAAGGAAGAACACCAGUGGCGAAGGCAGAUGACUGGACGGCAACUGACGGUGAGGCGCGAAAGCGUGGGGAGCAAACAGGAUUAGAUACCCGGGUAGUC
Molecule: ribosomal RNA, 442 nt
Filed under: uncultured bacterium
Lineage: Bacteria
Description: partial 16S ribosomal RNA
Rfam family: Bacterial small subunit ribosomal RNA
Source: RNAcentral